AACGAACGCUGGUGGCAGGCCUAACACAUGCAAGUCGAACGGAUAAGAGCGGAGCUUGCUCCGAACACUGUCAGUGGCAAACGGGUGAGUAAUACAUGGGAAUCUACCUCGUAGUACGGAAUAACUAUGGGAAACUAUGGCUAAUACCGAAUACGCCCUCCGGGGGAAAGAUUUAUCGCUAUGAGAUGAGCCCAUGUCGGAUUAGCUUGUUGGUGAGGUAAUGGCUUACCAAGGCUACGAUCCGUAGCUGGUUUGAGAGGAUGACCAGCCACACUGGAACUUAGACACGGUCCAGACUCCUACGGGAGGCAGCAGUGAGGAAUAUUGGACAAUGGGCGCAAGCCUGAUCCAGCCAUGCCACGUGAAUGAUGAAGGCCUUCGGGUUGUAAAAUUCUUUUAGUGGGGAAGAUAAUGACGGUACCCACAGAAAAAGCUCCGGCUAACUUCGUGCCAGCAGCCGCGGUAAUACGAAGGGGGCUAGCGUUGUUCGGAAUUACUGGGCGUAAAGAACAUGUAGGCGGUUUAUCAAGUUGGAAGUGAAAUCCCGGGGCUUAACCUCGGAACUGCUUUCAAAACUGGUUUACUAGAGAUAGGUAGGGGACAUUGGAAUUCCUAGUGUAGAGGUGAAAUUCGUAGAUAUUAGGAGGAACACCGGAGGCGAAAGCGAAUGUCUGGACCUAUUCUGACACUGAGAUGGACAAAGCGUGGAGAGCAACCAGGAUGAGAUACCACUGGUAGUCCACGCUGUAAACGAUGAGUGCUAGAUAUCGGGGCCUUGGUUUCGGUGUCGCAGCUAACGCGUUAAGCACUCCGCCUGGGGAGUACGGUCGCAAGAUUAAAACUCAAAGGAAUUGACGGGGACCCGCACAAGCGGUGGAGCAUGCGGUUUAAUUCGAUGCUACGCGAAAAACCUUACCAACUCUUGACAUACCGGUCGCGAGAACCAGAGAUGGAUCUCUUCAGUUAGGCUGGACCGAGUACAGGUGUUGCAUGGCCGUCGUCAGCUCGUGUCGUGAGAUGUUGGGUUAAGUCCCGCAACGAGCGCAACCCUUAUCCUUAGUUACCAACAGGUAAUGCUGGGCACUCUAAGGAAACUGCCGGUGAUAAACCGGAGGAAGGUGAGGACGACGUCAGGUCAUCAUGGCCCUUACGAGUUGGGCUACACGCGUGCUACAAUGGUGGUGACAGAGGGAAGCUAAAGAGCGAUCUGGUGCAGAUCCCUAAAAACCAUCUCAGUUCGGAUUGGAGUCUGCAACUCGACUCCAUGAAGUCGGAAUCGCUAGUAAUCGUGAAUCAUCAUGUCACGGUGAAUACGUUCACGGGUCUUGUACACACUGCCCGUCACGCCAUGGGAGUUGGUUUAACCUGAAGUCGGUGAGCUAACCUUUUAGGAAGCAGCCGCCCACGGUAAGAUUAAUGACUGGGGUG
This 1428-nucleotide ribosomal RNA is filed under the name uncultured Alphaproteobacteria bacterium. RNAcentral describes it as "bacterial SSU rRNA". It matches the Rfam family "Bacterial small subunit ribosomal RNA". Lineage: Bacteria; Pseudomonadati; Pseudomonadota; Alphaproteobacteria. The record is from RNAcentral.